RNAcentral lists this long non-coding RNA (447 nucleotides) under Sorghum bicolor (sorghum). RNAcentral's name for it is "long non-coding RNA (SBIC_LNC008090)". Lineage: Eukaryota; Viridiplantae; Streptophyta; Magnoliopsida; Poales; Poaceae. The record is from RNAcentral.
CCGACAAUUCCAUAUUAUGAGCCUCAUUUUUGUAGGCGGGAUUGGUCAAGCAAUCCCGCGUGUUCAUCAUCAGAAUCCAUAUCUUCAUCACCCACCUUGUGCAUUGUGACUUUUGUUUUUUGCACAAAUUGGUCUCCUUUGCUUCCAAAUCUGUACCCUGCCUUUUUAGGUUGACUGGGCUACCUGAGAAUUCAUCAAGUAUUUUCAUUUCAUGCAUGGGGAUCCUUUUGAAAGUACCCUUUCCUUUUUUGUACUUUUUUCAGAUUUUAGUUAUUGGUCUCUCUCAACUGGUAAAUCUUCCUAGCAUCCUUUGUGCAUUAUAUUCAGUUGCUCAGCACCCUACGCCAUUUCCACUCUACCUUCACCUGCAUCAAUUCUACUCAAAUUAAGCUCCAUAUUAUCUAUUUCCAUAUCCUUCUUAUCCAACUCCACUAACUCUUGGACUGA